Molecule: long non-coding RNA, 125 nt
Organism: Sphaeramia orbicularis (orbiculate cardinalfish)
Lineage: Eukaryota; Metazoa; Chordata; Actinopteri; Kurtiformes; Apogonidae
Exons: 3
Source: RefSeq, a predicted model, not a curated record
GUUUUUCUUUUCUAUUUGAUGUCGAUGUGUGUAUUUGUGUGACAAUUCUAUGUACAGUCAUGAGGAAACAAAUCUCCCUUCUAGGACGAACAAAGUCUAAGUCUAAAGAUAACAGACCUGAGGAC